AUUGAACGCUGGCGGCAUGCUUUACACAUGCAAGUCGAACGGCAGCGCGGGCUUCGGCCUGGCGGCGAGUGGCGAACGGGUGAGUAAUGCAUCGGAACGUGCCCAGUAGUGGGGGAUAGCCCGGCGAAAGCCGGAUUAAUACCGCAUACGACCUGAGGGUGAAAGCGGGGGACCGAAAGGCCUCGCGCUAUUGGAGCGGCCGAUGUCGGAUUAACUAGUUGGUGGGGUAAAGGCUUACCAAGGCGACGAUCCGUAGCUGGUCUGAGAGGACGACCAGCCACACUGGGACUGAGACACGGCCCAGACUCCUACGGGAGGCAGCAGUGGGGAAUUUUGGACAAUGGGGGCAACCCUGAUCCAGCCAUGCCGCGUGCGGGAAGAAGGCCUUCGGGUUGUAAACCGCUUUUGUUCGGGAAGAAAUCCUCUGGGCUAAUACCCCGGGGGGAUGACGGUACCGGAAGAAUAAGCACCGGCUAACUACGUG
This 484-nucleotide ribosomal RNA is filed under the name uncultured bacterium. RNAcentral describes it as "partial 16S ribosomal RNA". It matches the Rfam family "Bacterial small subunit ribosomal RNA", at positions 29 to 507 of the family's 1533-position model. The record is from RNAcentral.